This 260-nucleotide unclassified non-coding RNA is filed under the name uncultured fungus. RNAcentral describes it as "sequence contains ITS2". Lineage: Eukaryota; Fungi. The record is from RNAcentral.
AACGCACAUUGCGCCUAUUAGUAUUCUAGUAGGCAUGCCUAUUCGAGCGUCAUUUCAACCCUUAAGCCUAGCUUAGUGUUGGGAGAUUACCUGGACCGCGCCGGCGGCGGUAACUCCCUAAAACCAUUGGCAGAGACAGUACACCUCUGAGCGUAGUAGUUUACCACCUCGCUUUCGCGGCCCGUACUGGCUAUCGCCACGAAACCUAUAUUUUUCUUCUGGUUGACCUCGGAUUAGGUAGGAAUACCCGCUGAACUUAA